This 253-nucleotide ribosomal RNA is filed under the name uncultured bacterium. Its description in RNAcentral is "partial 16S ribosomal RNA". It matches the Rfam family "Bacterial small subunit ribosomal RNA", at positions 524 to 776 of the family's 1533-position model. The record is from RNAcentral.
UACGUAGGUGGCAAGCGUUGUCCGGAUUUACUGGGUGUAAAGGGCGUGCAGCCGGAGAGACAAGUCAGAUGUGAAAUCCACGGGCUCAACCCGUGAACUGCAUUUGAAACUGUUUCCCUUGAGUGUCGGAGAGGUAAUCGGAAUUCCUUGUGUAGCGGUGAAAUGCGUAGAUAUAAGGAAGAACACCAGUGGCGGAGGCGGAUUACUGGACGAUAACUGACGGUGAGGCGCGAAAGCGUGGGAAGCAAACAGG